AUUGAACGCUGGCGGCAUGCCUUACACAUGCAAGUCGAACGGCAGCACGGGAGCAAUCCUGGUGGCGAGUGGCGAACGGGUGAGUAAUAUAUCGGAACGUGCCCGGUCGUGGGGGAUAACGUAGCGAAAGCUACGCUAAUACCGCAUACGAUCUACGGAUGAAAGCGGGGGGAUCGCAAGACCUCGCGCGAUUGGAGCGGCCGAUAUCAGAUUAGGUAGUUGGUGAGGUAAAGGCUCACCAAGCCGACGAUCUGUAGCUGGUCUGAGAGGACGACCAGCCACACUGGGACUGAGACACGGCCCAGACUCCUACGGGAGGCAGCAGUGGGGAAUUUUGGACAAUGGGCGCAAGCCUGAUCCAGCAAUGCCGCGUGCAGGAU
RNAcentral lists this ribosomal RNA (380 nucleotides) under uncultured bacterium. RNAcentral's name for it is "bacterial SSU rRNA". It matches the Rfam family "Bacterial small subunit ribosomal RNA", at positions 30 to 409 of the family's 1533-position model. The record is from RNAcentral.